CCUCGGCAGGCUGACAGCCACCUGCACAGGGAAGCGAAGCAGGGAGAGGACUUUUCUUACUGCUCAGGACCCUGGGUCUCCCUUUCUCAAUCCUUCCGAUGAAGGAAGUGGUAACUGAGGUGAUUAUGACGGAAACAGCGGUCAGUCCACGCUUCCUCCGUGCGGCUGUUGGUGCCUUACAGACACCGGAGCCUCUGGGCGACCCUCUGCCUUGUGCACCCCUUAUAAUUACCAUCCCUGCUUACAGAUGAGCAAACCGGUUCUCGGAGAAGUCGAGUGACGCUCUCCAAAUCACACAGCAGACAUAAGGCAUCAGGGAAACUCAAAGGGCACACCGAACAGCGUUGUCCCUGGCCAGAUGGUGGGCAUCCGCACCCGGGAUCAACACACCCCUGGCCGCCCCCAAUCCCGACUGUCAAGAGACCAGAGUCCAGAGCAGAUCGGCACAGGUGCAAGCAAAACUGGGUGGAAAACAAGAGAAACAGAAGGAAAUGAAUCUCGGGAGGUGAAACUGGACUAUGGGUGUGCGCUGGCAAGUUGGGGCAGAAGAGGCUGUGUGCGAGCCAGGGGUGUGUGCAGGCAGGGAGGUGACAAGAGGCAGCGGGCGUGACCUCAUAGGAACUGUGUAUCCAUUAGAGGUGCUUGUCGCCAUGGAGACCAGACACAUGGGCGAGCCGGCCCAGGGAGGCAGAAAUAAAGGAGCUGUAAGGGACGGAUGUUCAAGGAGAGACAGAGUUACACGUUAACGUUGCCGAAGCCUUGGGGUGCAGGCAACUGCCAGGGUGUCCGCGGGAGAGGUGCCGCCGGGCAAGGACAGGAGCUGCAUGCCAGGGGGCUUCUGAGCUGGAUCGUCAGGAGCCUCAUCCCUGCCCCUCUUCUGCUCACCUGCUCAUGUGCUCCGCCCUCCUCCGGGGAUCCUGCCCUGUCCUUGGACGCCUUCCCCAGUGCCGUGUCCUUCAAGAAGCUCUCUUCGGUCCAGUCAGCCCUGACAGACUCCUUCCGGACCCUGCCCGUCCUCCACCCAGCCUUCUCCCACCUUCCCCAGGGCCCCUCCCUGGGGAAGGCCCUUCUGAUGCCUGCCCCAUCUCUUCCCAUGGUGACUUGCCUAUGUCACCUCCUCAGAGAAGCCCUCUCUGAUACACCAACAUGGGAGACCUCCUGUUAUUCUCUGUGGGGUUGACCGAAAUUUUUUCCUUUAUCAUACAGAUUUCCAUUUGUAACUGUUUUUCAUUCGUCUUCUUG
RNAcentral lists this long non-coding RNA (1242 nucleotides) under Suricata suricatta (meerkat). Its description in RNAcentral is "lncRNA (ENSSSUG00005001673.1)". Lineage: Eukaryota; Metazoa; Chordata; Mammalia; Carnivora; Herpestidae. The record is from RNAcentral.